GGCUCGGUAGCACAACGGUAGUGCGUCUGACUCCAGAUCAGAAGGUUGUGGGUUCGAAUCCCGUCUGGGUCA
Molecule: transfer RNA, 72 nt
Filed under: Micromonas commoda
Lineage: Eukaryota; Viridiplantae; Chlorophyta; Mamiellophyceae; Mamiellales; Mamiellaceae
Description: tRNA-Trp (CCA) (tRNA-Trp-CCA-1-1)
Rfam family: tRNA
About the family: Transfer RNA (tRNA) molecules are approximately 80 nucleotides in length. Their secondary structure includes four short double-helical elements and three loops (D, anti-codon, and T loops).
Source: Rfam by way of RNAcentral